UGGGCUGAGCGGCGGGGCCCGCCGGGGGCCUCAGGCCCCCGCGCCCCGGGUUCCGCGCCGGAUCAGCCCGUCCA
RNAcentral lists this transfer RNA (74 nucleotides) under Streptomyces griseus. Its description in RNAcentral is "tRNA-Sec". Lineage: Bacteria; Bacillati; Actinomycetota; Actinomycetes; Kitasatosporales; Streptomycetaceae. The record is from RNAcentral.